This 751-nucleotide ribosomal RNA is filed under the name Nocardia niigatensis. RNAcentral describes it as "bacterial SSU rRNA". It matches the Rfam family "Bacterial small subunit ribosomal RNA", at positions 142 to 905 of the family's 1533-position model. Lineage: Bacteria; Bacillati; Actinomycetota; Actinomycetes; Mycobacteriales; Nocardiaceae. The record is from RNAcentral.
GAUAAGCCUGGGAAACUGGGUCUAAUACCGGAUAUGAGCCUGGACUGCAUGGUCUGGGUUGGAAAGGUUUACUGGUGCGAGAUGGGCCCGCGGCCUAUCAGCUUGUUGGUGGGGUAACGGCCUACCAAGGCGACGACGGGUAGCCGACCUGAGAGGGUGACCGGCCACACUGGGACUGAGACACGGCCCAGACUCCUACGGGAGGCAGCAGUGGGGAAUAUUGCACAAUGGGCGAAAGCCUGAUGCAGCGACGCCGCGUGAGGGAUGACGGCCUUCGGGUUGUAAACCUCUUUUGACAGGGACGAAGCGCAAGUGACGGUACCUGUAGAAGAAGCACCGGCCAACUACGUGCCAGCAGCCGCGGUAAUACGUAGGGUGCGAGCGUUGUCCGGAAUUACUGGGCGUAAAGAGCUUGUAGGCGGUCUGUCACGUCGAUUGUGAAAACUUGCAGCUCAACUGCAAGCUUGCAGUCGAUACGGGCAGACUAGAGUACUUCAGGGGAGACUGGAAUUCCUGGUGUAGCGGUGAAAUGCGCAGAUAUCAGGAGGAACACCGGUGGCGAAGGCGGGUCUCUGGGAAGUAACUGACGCUGAGAAGCGAAAGCGUGGGUAGCGAACAGGAUUAGAUACCCUGGUAGUCCACGCCGUAAACGGUGGGUACUAGGUGUGGGUUUCCUUCCACGGGAUCCGUGCCGUAGCUAACGCAUUAAGUACCCCGCCUGGGGAGUACGGCCGCAAGGCUAAAACUCAAA